This 455-nucleotide unclassified non-coding RNA is filed under the name Hevea brasiliensis (rubber tree). The record is from RNAcentral. Lineage: Eukaryota; Viridiplantae; Streptophyta; Magnoliopsida; Malpighiales; Euphorbiaceae.
AGCAUUCUUGCUAUUACCUAGGUUCAGGAAGACUCUUUAAAAUAGUGACAUCUUUUGAGAUACUCAUAGAGUCUUUCUUCUUAUCUGGCAGGAUUGAAUCUCUUCAAGGCGUACUCAGAUUCUAGCAGCAGUUCUUGUUAUUAAUAAGUUGCUUACCUUGAUAAAGGGUUGCUUGCCUUUCCUUUUCUUUCCUUUCUUUGGCACAUUCUUUCAAAAUGUUAUUAAUAAGUUGUGUCUGCUCCUUCAAUUCAAGCUUCUUCUUUUUUCUUUCCUAUUUAUAUUCUUCCAUAAGUAUUUCCUGAUAUUUCAUUUUUUCCUGUAAUUUGCCAUUCUGGACUCCUGCCUCUCUCACUGCGCUUUAAAGCAGGGUCUUUUUUUUCUCCCACUGUAUUUCCUAUCCCUCAAAUUCCGCUUCUCCUGCUAUUACUUCUUCCCUGAGCCUCUUUACCUCCUUU